GGGGCAAGCCGGGCGGUCGCCGGGUCGUUUGACCCGGAGGAAAGUCCGAACACCUUAGGGCAGCGAGCCGGAUAACAUCCGGGCACAUGGGUUUCUAGCUUGUGUGACGACAAGUGCAACAGAGAACAGACCGGCCUCGAUCCGUCGAGGUUACGGGUGAAACGGUGAGGUAAGAGCUCACCGGCGUCUGCUGGUAACAGCGGCGGCCAGGCAAACUCCUCGUGGUGCAAGAUCAAAUAGGGGAUCGCUAAUCGAUCGUACGGCCCGUACGAAGUCGGAAACGGCGGCAGGUCCCGGGUAGAUCGCUUGAGCAAUUCGGUAACGAAUGGCCCAGAUGAAUGAUCGCCGCUUGGCCCCGGUCAGGUACAAAAUUCGGCUUACAGGCUCGUCCCAUAG
Molecule: RNase P RNA, 396 nt
Filed under: Acidobacteriota bacterium
Lineage: Bacteria; Pseudomonadati; Acidobacteriota
Also listed under: 1 other name
Description: Acidobacteria bacterium (activated sludge metagenome) RNase P RNA component class A
Rfam family: Bacterial RNase P class A
About the family: Ribonuclease P (RNase P) is a ubiquitous endoribonuclease, found in archaea, bacteria and eukarya as well as chloroplasts and mitochondria. Its best characterised activity is the generation of mature 5'-ends of tRNAs by cleaving the 5'-leader elements of precursor-tRNAs. Cellular RNase Ps are ribonucleoproteins.
Source: RNAcentral